Molecule: ribosomal RNA, 1543 nt
Filed under: Lactiplantibacillus pentosus
Lineage: Bacteria; Bacillati; Bacillota; Bacilli; Lactobacillales; Lactobacillaceae
Description: Lactobacillus pentosus 16S ribosomal RNA
Rfam family: Bacterial small subunit ribosomal RNA
Source: RNAcentral
AUCAUGGCUCAGGACGAACGCUGGCGGCGUGCCUAAUACAUGCAAGUCGAACGAACUCUGGUAUUGAUUGGUGCUUGCAUCAUGAUUUACAUUUGAGUGAGUGGCGAACUGGUGAGUAACACGUGGGAAACCUGCCCAGAAGCGGGGGAUAACACCUGGAAACAGAUGCUAAUACCGCAUAACAACUUGGACCGCAUGGUCCGAGUUUGAAAGAUGGCUUCGGCUAUCACUUUUGGAUGGUCCCGCGGCGUAUUAGCUAGAUGGUGGGGUAACGGCUCACCAUGGCAAUGAUACGUAGCCGACCUGAGAGGGUAAUCGGCCACAUUGGGACUGAGACACGGCCCAAACUCCUACGGGAGGCAGCAGUAGGGAAUCUUCCACAAUGGACGAAAGUCUGAUGGAGCAACGCCGCGUGAGUGAAGAAGGGUUUCGGCUCGUAAAACUCUGUUGUUAAAGAAGAACAUAUCUGAGAGUAACUGUUCAGGUAUUGACGGUAUUUAACCAGAAAGCCACGGCUAACUACGUGCCAGCAGCCGCGGUAAUACGUAGGUGGCAAGCGUUGUCCGGAUUUAUUGGGCGUAAAGCGAGCGCAGGCGGUUUUUUAAGUCUGAUGUGAAAGCCUUCGGCUCAACCGAAGAAGUGCAUCGGAAACUGGGAAACUUGAGUGCAGAAGAGGACAGUGGAACUCCAUGUGUAGCGGUGAAAUGCGUAGAUAUAUGGAAGAACACCAGUGGCGAAGGCGGCUGUCUGGUCUGUAACUGACGCUGAGGCUCGAAAGUAUGGGUAGCAAACAGGAUUAGAUACCCUGGUAGUCCAUACCGUAAACGAUGAAUGCUAAGUGUUGGAGGGUUUCCGCCCUUCAGUGCUGCAGCUAACGCAUUAAGCAUUCCGCCUGGGGAGUACGGCCGCAAGGCUGAAACUCAAAGGAAUUGACGGGGGCCCGCACAAGCGGUGGAGCAUGUGGUUUAAUUCGAAGCUACGCGAAGAACCUUACCAGGUCUUGACAUACUAUGCAAAUCUAAGAGAUUAGACGUUCCCUUCGGGGACAUGGAUACAGGUGGUGCAUGGUUGUCGUCAGCUCGUGUCGUGAGAUGUUGGGUUAAGUCCCGCAACGAGCGCAACCCUUAUUAUCAGUUGCCAGCAUUAAGUUGGGCACUCUGGUGAGACUGCCGGUGACAAACCGGAGGAAGGUGGGGAUGACGUCAAAUCAUCAUGCCCCUUAUGACCUGGGCUACACACGUGCUACAAUGGAUGGUACAACGAGUUGCGAACUCGCGAGAGUAAGCUAAUCUCUUAAAGCCAUUCUCAGUUCGGAUUGUAGGCUGCAACUCGCCUACAUGAAGUCGGAAUCGCUAGUAAUCGCGGAUCAGCAUGCCGCGGUGAAUACGUUCCCGGGCCUUGUACACACCGCCCGUCACACCAUGAGAGUUUGUAACACCCAAAGUCGGUGGGGUAACCUUUUAGGAACCAGCCGCCUAAGGUGGGACAGAUGAUUAGGGUGAAGUCGUAACAAGGUAGCCGUAGGAGAACCUGCGGUUGGAUC